RNAcentral lists this ribosomal RNA (482 nucleotides) under uncultured bacterium. Its description in RNAcentral is "partial 16S ribosomal RNA". It matches the Rfam family "Bacterial small subunit ribosomal RNA", at positions 28 to 523 of the family's 1533-position model. The record is from RNAcentral.
GAUGAACGCUGGCGGCGUGCCUAAUACAUGCAAGUCGAGCGAACCACUUCGGUGGUGAGCGGCGAACGGGUGAGUAACACGUAGGUUAUCUGCCCAUCAGACGGGGACAACGAUUGGAAACGAUCGCUAAUACCGGAUAGGACGAAAGUUUAAAGGUGCUUCGGCACCACUUAGGGAUGAGCCUGCGGCGCAUUAGCUAGUUGGUAGGGUAAAGGCCUACCAAGGCGACGAUGCGUAGCCGACCUGAGAGGGUGAACGGCCACACUGGGACUGAGACACGGCCCAGACUCCUACGGGAGGCAGCAGUAGGGAAUCUUCGGCAAUGGGCGAAAGCCUGACCGAGCAACGCCGCGUGAAUGAUGAAGGCCUUCGGGUUGGAAAAUUCUGUUAUAAGGGAAGAAUGGCUUUAGUAGGAAAUGGCUAGAGUGUGACGGUACCUUAUGAGAAAGCCACGGCUAACUACGUGCCAGCAGCCGCUGUAA